Ornithorhynchus anatinus (platypus) is the source of this 140-nucleotide non-coding RNA. NCBI's taxonomy places the organism in Eukaryota, Metazoa, Chordata, Mammalia, Monotremata, Ornithorhynchidae. The record is from Rfam.
CCCUUCUCAGACUCACACUUGGAGAGUCUCCAGUACUCUACCAAUCUUUGCUAUAGGAGGGAUAGAGUUAAGCAGAGGCAUACCCAUCCCAUUCCUAGCUUGGGCAAUGGCUUGUGAAUGGAAGGCAAUCUGCUACAAGU